This 834-nucleotide ribosomal RNA is filed under the name uncultured Planctomycetota bacterium. Its description in RNAcentral is "bacterial SSU rRNA". It matches the Rfam family "Bacterial small subunit ribosomal RNA", at positions 678 to 1499 of the family's 1533-position model. Lineage: Bacteria; Pseudomonadati; Planctomycetota. The record is from RNAcentral.
GAGGUGAAAUUCGUAGAUAUCAAAGGNAACGCCGGUGGCGAAAGCGGGUCGCUGGGCUUGUCCUGACGCUGAGAUGCGAAAGCGUAGGUAGCGAAACGGGAUUAGAUACCCCCGGUAGUCUACGCCGUAAACGAUGCGCACUAGAUACGAGGAUCUCUGACGGUUUUCGUGUCGAAGCAAAAGUGUUAAGUGCGCCGCCUGGGGAGUACGGCCGCAAGGCUAAAACUCAAAGGAAUUGACGGGGGCUCACACAAGCGGUGGAGCAUGUGGAUUAAUUCGAAGCAACGCGAAGAACCUUACCUGGGUUUGACAUGUGCGGAUGCCCUCCUGGAAACGGGAGUAAGCUGCCUUCGGGUGAAACGUACACAGGUGCUGCAUGGCUGUCGUCAGCUCGUGCUGUGAAGUGUCGGGUUAAGUCCCUUAACGAGCGAAACCCUUAUCGCUAGUUGCCAGCGGGUCAUGCCGGGAACUCUAGCGAGACCGCCGGCGUUAAGCCGGAGGAAGGUGGGGAUGACGUCAAGUCCUCAUGGCCCUUAUGUCCAGGGUGUCACACGUGCUACAAUGGGAUGUACAGAGCGACGCGAGACCGCGAGGUGGAGCAAAUCGCAAAAAACAUUCCUCAGUUCGGAUUGGAGUCUGCAACUCGACUCCAUGAAGUUGGAAUCGCUAGUAAUCGCGUAUCAGCCAUGACGCGGUGAAUGUGUUCCUGAGCCUUGUACACACCGCCCGUCAAGUCAUGGAAGCUGGGAGCACCCGAAGUCCGCUUAGCUAACCUUUAGGAGGCGGCGGCCGACGGUGAGUUCGGUGACUGGGACUAAGUCGUAACCAAGGUAA